CCAAGGCAACGACGGGUAGCUGGUCUGAGAGGACGAACAGCCACACUGGGACUGAGACACGGCCCAGACUCCUACGGGAGGCAGCAGCAGGGAAUAUUGCACAAUGGGCGAAAGCCUGAUGCAGCGACGCCGCGUGAGGGAUGAAGGCCUUCGGGUUGUAAACCUCUUUCAGGAGGGAAGAAGCGCAAGUGACGGUACCUCCAGAAGAAGCCCCGGCCAACUACGUGCCAGCAGCCGCGGUAAUACGUAGGGGGCGAGCGUUGUCCGGAUUCAUUGGGCGUAAAGAGCUCGUAGGCGGCUCAGUAAGUCGGCCGUGAAAUUCCAGGGCUCAACCCUGGGAGGCCGGUCGAUACUGCUGUGGCUAGGGUCCGGUAGAGGAGAGCGGAAUUCCCGGUGUAGCGGUGAAAUGCGCAGAUAUCGGGAGGAACACCCGUAGCGAAGGCGGCUCUCUGGGCCGGUACCGACGCUGAGGAGCGAAAGCUAGGGGAGCAAACAGGAUUAGAUACCCUGGUAGUCCUAGCUGUAAACGUUGGGCACUAGGUGUGGCGGAUUGAUUGACGUCUGCCGUGCCGUAGCU
This 577-nucleotide ribosomal RNA is filed under the name uncultured bacterium. Its description in RNAcentral is "bacterial SSU rRNA". It matches the Rfam family "Bacterial small subunit ribosomal RNA", at positions 268 to 853 of the family's 1533-position model. The record is from RNAcentral.